UACGUAGGAUCCGAGCGUUGUCCGGAUUUACUGGGUGUAAAGGGUGCGCAGGCGGACUGGUAAGUCAGAGGUGAAAUCUCGUCGCUUAACGACGAAACUGCCUUUGGUACUAUCAGUCUUGAAUCCGGUAGAGAUCUGUGGAAUUCCGAGUGUAGCAGUGAAAUGUGUAGAUAUUCGGAAGAACACCAGUGGCGAAGGCAGCAGAUUGGGCCGGUAUUGACGCUCAGGCACGAAAGCAUGGGGAUCAAACAGG
This 253-nucleotide ribosomal RNA is filed under the name uncultured bacterium. RNAcentral describes it as "partial 16S ribosomal RNA". It matches the Rfam family "Bacterial small subunit ribosomal RNA", at positions 524 to 776 of the family's 1533-position model. The record is from RNAcentral.